GUGGAUUAGAUACCCUGGUAGUCCACGCCGUAAACUAUGGAUGCUAGCCGUCGGCAAGCUUGCUUGUCGGUGGCGCAGCUAACGCUUUAAGCAUCCCGCCUGGGGAGUACGGCCGCAAGGUUAAAACUCAAAGGAAUUGACGGGGGCCCGCACAAGCGGUGGAGCAUGUGGUUUAAUUCGACGCAACGCGAAGAACCUUACCAGCUCUUGACAUUUACGGACCGUUUCCAGAGAUGGAUUCAUCCUAGCAAUAGGCCGUAGGACAGGUGCUGCAUGGUUGUCGACAGCU
RNAcentral lists this ribosomal RNA (289 nucleotides) under uncultured bacterium. RNAcentral describes it as "partial 16S ribosomal RNA". It matches the Rfam family "Bacterial small subunit ribosomal RNA", at positions 773 to 1060 of the family's 1533-position model. The record is from RNAcentral.